UGUAGGUAAAAAGAAUCUCUUCUAUUUUACACAUUUACGUUGGUCUUGGCACUAAGCGAAUGUCGGAAUGCGACAUCCUGGAAGAAACAUGGUAAGACAAAAGACAUUGGCAAUUGGAAGCAACAGGAGAGCAGCGUGAGAGGAGAACCGGAGACCGGAGCUACGAACGAUACAUAACCUAAGAAUAGAGGUAGAAGCUUACUUUGUCCAUAGCUGGUGUGACAACACGCGAGUAUAAGCGGGCUGAGUAAAAAUAGCCGGAAGCUGUGCAUUCUUC
Molecule: non-coding RNA, 277 nt
Organism: Linepithema humile (Argentine ant)
Lineage: Eukaryota; Metazoa; Arthropoda; Insecta; Hymenoptera; Formicidae
Source: RefSeq, a predicted model, not a curated record